UACGUAGGUGGCAAGCGUUGUCCGGAUUUACUGGGCGUAAAGAGCGCGCAGGCGGUCGUUCAAGUCGCGUGUGAAAGCCCCCGGCUCAACUGGGGAGGGUCACGCGAUACUGAUCGACUGGAAGGCAGGAGAGGGUAGUGGAAUUCCCGGUGUAGUGGUGAAAUGCGUAGAUAUCGGGAGGAACACCAGUGGCGAAGGCGGAUCUCUGGGCCUGUUCUGACGCUGAGGCGCGAAAGCUAGGGGAGCGAACAGG
RNAcentral lists this ribosomal RNA (253 nucleotides) under uncultured bacterium. RNAcentral describes it as "partial 16S ribosomal RNA". It matches the Rfam family "Bacterial small subunit ribosomal RNA", at positions 524 to 776 of the family's 1533-position model. The record is from RNAcentral.